This 65-nucleotide transfer RNA is filed under the name Dipodomys ordii (Ord's kangaroo rat). It matches the Rfam family "tRNA". Rfam says of the family: Transfer RNA (tRNA) molecules are approximately 80 nucleotides in length. Their secondary structure includes four short double-helical elements and three loops (D, anti-codon, and T loops). Lineage: Eukaryota; Metazoa; Chordata; Mammalia; Rodentia; Heteromyidae. The record is from Rfam by way of RNAcentral.
GGUGGCUCAGUGGUAGAGCGCUUGUCUGAUGUGCAUGGGGCCGUGGGUUCAAUUCCUCAGCACCA